This 458-nucleotide ribosomal RNA is filed under the name uncultured bacterium. Its description in RNAcentral is "SSU rRNA". It matches the Rfam family "Bacterial small subunit ribosomal RNA", at positions 26 to 517 of the family's 1533-position model. The record is from RNAcentral.
AGAAUCAACGCUGGCGGCGUGCCUAACACAUGCAAGUCGCACGAGAAAGGGACUUCGGUCCUGAGUACAGUGGCGCACGGGUGAGUAACACGUGAAUUAUCUACCUCCGAGUGGGGAAUAACUGAGAGAAAUCUUAGCUAAUACCGCAUAACACUUACGAGUCAAAGCAGCAAUGCGCUUGGAGAGGAGUUCGCGGCAGAUUAGUUAGUUGGCGGGGUAAUGGCCCACCAAGACGAUGAUCUGUAUCCGGCCUGAGAGGGCGCACGGACACACUGGAACUGAAACACGGUCCAGACUCCUACGGGAGGCAGCAGUGGGGAAUUUUGCGCAAUGGGGGAAACCCUGACGCAGCAACGCCGCGUGGAGGAUGAAAUAUCUUGGUAUGUAAACUCCUUUCGAUGGGGAAGAUAAUGACGGUACCCAUAGAAGAAGCCCGGCUAACUUCGUGCCAGCAGCCG